GUGACCCGCGUGCUGGGCGCAGCUUAACCGGGACCUGUCCUUCCCAUACCCAACCGCCCUGUUGGUAGCUGAGGGAAUCCUGCCCCAGCGGCGUCUGGCCGGAGAGGGUAGGGGAAGAGGCAAGUAGGAAGUCGGCUUGCUGUAACCCUCGGGUGCGGCAUAGCGGGAGGCGUUUACCAUUCUGAGGAGCAUCCAUUUGAAAGCCCCAGUAACUGAAACCUAUUGGAGGUUAGUUCGCCACCGGAGCCUACCAAAGGUCCUUUCUUUUAUCCACCCCUCUACCUCUGUGCAGCCUCACUUAACCUCACACCUCAGGUGAGGGGGAAAUCAGAGAAGGACCAGCAGCUGGCCGGUGCUGGUAGCCUCAUUGCCAGUUUCUUCAUCCAUUUUAAAGCUACAGAUAAUCUGACACUACUCAGAAUAUCUAAGCCUUAAACAUUAACCAUCAGAAGACUUUCUCUAUUUAUUCAUUCUGAGACGUGGCACAACCAUGUCAUUUUUUCCGACGAUAUCCUGCUGUGACAUCUUCUCCUAUUGAAGUUCAUCUGUGAA
This is a non-coding RNA of Odocoileus virginianus texanus, 552 nucleotides long. The record is from RefSeq and is a predicted model, not a curated record. Lineage: Eukaryota; Metazoa; Chordata; Mammalia; Artiodactyla; Cervidae.